This 511-nucleotide ribosomal RNA is filed under the name uncultured bacterium. Its description in RNAcentral is "bacterial SSU rRNA". It matches the Rfam family "Bacterial small subunit ribosomal RNA", at positions 28 to 527 of the family's 1533-position model. The record is from RNAcentral.
GACGAACGCUGGCGGCGUGGAUUAGGCAUGCAAGUCGAACGGUAUCAUCCUUUCGGGGGUGAGAGAGUGGCGAACUGGUGAGUAACACGUAGGUUAUCUACCCUCAAGACGGGGACAACCCAGGGAAACUUGGGCUAAUACCGGAUGUGAGCAACUUUUAGUUGUUUGAAAGGUGGCGUAAGCUGUCGCUUGGGGAUGAGCCUGCGUCCUAUUAGUUAGUUGGUGAGGUAACGGCUCACCUAGGCAAUGAUAGGUAGGCGGCCUUAACGGGUGGUCGCCCACACUGGGAUUGAGAUACGGCCAGACUCCUACGGGAGGCAGCAGUCGAAAUAGUCUACAAUGGUCGGAAGACUGAUAGUGCGACGCCGCGUGAACGAUGAAUCCCUUCGGGGUGUAAAGGUUCUUUUAUAUGUGAGCAGUGCUUCUUAUAUUAAACAGUAUGGGGAGAGAGAUAUUAGCAUAUGAAUAAGCAACGGCUAACUCCGUUGCCAGGCAGCCGCGGUAAUCUUCG